RNAcentral lists this ribosomal RNA (433 nucleotides) under uncultured Prochlorococcus sp. RNAcentral's name for it is "bacterial SSU rRNA". It matches the Rfam family "Bacterial small subunit ribosomal RNA", at positions 355 to 776 of the family's 1533-position model. RNAcentral also lists the same sequence under 1 other name. Lineage: Bacteria; Bacillati; Cyanobacteriota; Cyanophyceae; Synechococcales; Prochlorococcaceae. The record is from RNAcentral.
UGGGGAAUUUUGCGCAAUGGGCGAAAGCCUGACGCAGUAACGCCGCGUGGAGGACGAAGGCCUUCGGGUCGUAAACUCCUGUCAGGGGGGAAGAAGGACUUGAGGCUGGAAUACAUCUUUGAGUUCUGACGGUACCCCCAAAGGAAGCCCCGGCUAAUUCCGUGCCAGCAGCCGCGGUAAUACGGAAGGGGCUAGCGUUGUUCGGAAUCAUUGGGCGUAAAGGGCGCGUAGGUGGUUUUAUAUGUCCGUCGUGAAAGUUCACGGCUCAACCGUGUUUGGUCGGCGGAAACUGUAAGACUUGAGGCUGGGAGGGGCUGGAGGAAUUCCCUAUGUAGCGGUGAAAUGCGUAGAGAUAGGGGAGAACACUCGUGGCGAAGGCGUCCAGCUGGACCAGUCCUGACACUGAGGCGCGAAAGCGUGGGUAGCAAACAGG